GAUGAUGAAUGAUUAACAGCCCCGUCCCGCCACCCCGCACCUGUGACGUCACCGGGGAGGGGCGCCGGGCGGCCAAUGGGCCGAGGCGGCGGCCCCGCCCCCCCCCGGCUCCCGGAUGUGUAAACAAACACCCCGAGAAGCGUGGCGGGGGGGGGGAGGGGGGGGUCGGUACGCGGGCCUGCGGGAUCCGCUCCGCUGAAUGAGCUGCCUGCCGGGCACCGGCAAGGAACAACGGGGGGGAAAAAAAGAAACAAAAUAAAAAAACGGGGGGGGGGGGGGAAGGCAAACAUCUUCCUUAUCUGCUCGGGGGUGUUCGCACCGCUGCUCGGAACCACGCACAAGCGUUCAGGGAAAUAAAAUGCGUAAGAAAUUAGCCUUUCCGUCAUUCUUGCUGGGCUCAACAAAAAAAAGCAGUGACACAAAAUAAGCUUCAGAGCCUCUGACCGGCUGCACAAAGCCGGACAAAGCCUACGCGCGCACUCUUGCCAAGCUGUGGAGAGAAAAAGAUACUGGAUCCAUGGAGUUCUGACUGUCUUCAAAAGCAGAGGCAGCUGAAGGGACUGCGAGCAGCUACUUGCCUAGUUUGGUCAGACCUCUUCCACUUUUUUCCGCCACCCUCUCAACUGGAUAGGAAACAGACAGUCCUUUGCUAGAGCUGAUAGGCUCCAAGGACAAAAACGCCACCACAGCAGCAGUUUCCUAUCAGCUUCCAACUGUAAAUAAUCUUGCGUUCUCUACUUGCUAUACAAAUUGUUAGAGAUAUUUACAUAAAAAUGUAUUAUUGCUCCACUGACAAUCAGUUUGACGUAAAUGUUGAUUUGCUGUCAUCUAGCAAAUUAUGUUGCAAAGUUACUGCCUAGAAAGGAUUGCUGUCAAUGCUAUAGUUGUCUGGAACUUGUUACUAAGACCAGACUGCUGUGGAAGCUAGUCACCGAAAGGUUUUUUGUAAAAGGCACAGACGCUGGCUUUAUAAUCACUAAGUGCAAUGUAUAGGUCCUUCAGGAAAGCGCAGUUAAGAUUUACAGCUAAGGUAAUGUCACACAUUUACAGAGCAGCACCACAAAUAACUUGACCAUGUGUUUACAGUAAUUUUAUUUACAAGUUACCACAUGACACCUGUAGUACUACAGUUUUUAUAACACCAUUAGCAGUAAAGUAAGUCACAUCUAAGAAGAGUAGGAGGCAGCAGAGAAAAAUGUGCACAGAG
This is a long non-coding RNA of Aquila chrysaetos chrysaetos, 1207 nucleotides long. RefSeq lists it as uncharacterized. NCBI's taxonomy places the organism in Eukaryota, Metazoa, Chordata, Aves, Accipitriformes, Accipitridae. The transcript has 3 exons. The record is from RefSeq and is a predicted model, not a curated record.